Molecule: ribosomal RNA, 421 nt
Filed under: uncultured bacterium
Lineage: Bacteria
Description: bacterial SSU rRNA
Rfam family: Bacterial small subunit ribosomal RNA
Source: RNAcentral
GAGGAAUAUUGGGCAAUGCCCGCAUGGGUGACCCAGCAACGCCGCGUGGAGGAUGAAUGUCGUAAGAUUGUAAACUCCUGUUAGAGGGGAAGAAUAGUACCGGUUGGACCGGUAUAUGACUGUACCCUCAGAGAAAGCCCCGGCUAACUACGUGCCAGCAGCCGCGGUAAUACGUAGGGGGCAAGCGUUGUACGGAUUUACUGGGUGUAAAGGGCGCGCAGGCGGGAUAAAAAGUCAGUGGUGAAAUCCUACAGCUUAACUGUAGAACUGCCUUUGAUACUUUUAUUCUUGAGUUCGGGAGAGAGAGACGGAAUUCCAGGUGUAGUGGUGAAAUACGUAGAUAUCUGGAAGAACACCAGUUGCGAAGGCGGUCUCUUGGUCCGACACUGACGCUGAGGCGCGAAAGCGUGGGGAGCAAACA